UACGAAGGGUGCAAGCGUUACUCGGAAUUACUGGGCGUAAAGCGUGCGUAGGUGGUUUGUUAAGUCUGAUGUGAAAGCCCUGGGCUCAACCUGGGAAUUGCAUUGGAUACUGGCAGGCUAGAGUGCGGUAGAGGAUGGCGGAAUUCCCGGUGUAGCAGUGAAAUGCGUAGAGAUCGGGAGGAACAUCUGUGGCGAAGGCGGCCAUCUGGACCAGCACUGACACUGAUGAGCGAAAGCCAGGGGAGCAAACGGG
RNAcentral lists this ribosomal RNA (253 nucleotides) under uncultured bacterium. RNAcentral's name for it is "partial 16S ribosomal RNA". It matches the Rfam family "Bacterial small subunit ribosomal RNA", at positions 524 to 776 of the family's 1533-position model. The record is from RNAcentral.